Molecule: ribosomal RNA, 379 nt
Filed under: Salmonella enterica
Lineage: Bacteria; Pseudomonadati; Pseudomonadota; Gammaproteobacteria; Enterobacterales; Enterobacteriaceae
Also listed under: 1 other name
Description: partial 23S ribosomal RNA
Rfam family: Bacterial large subunit ribosomal RNA
Source: RNAcentral
GAAUGCUGACAUAAGUAACGAUAAAGCGGGUGAAAAGCCCGCUCGCCGGAAGACCAAGGGUUCCUGUCCAACGUUAAUCGGGGCAGGGUGAGUCGACCCCUAAGGCGAGGCCGAAAGGCGUAGUCGAUGGGAAACGGGUUAAUAUUCCCGUACUUGGUGUUACUGCGAAGGGGGGACGGAGAAGGCUAUGUUGGCCGGGCGACGGUUGUCCCGGUUUAAGCGUGUAGGUGUGUGUUCCAGGUAAAUCCGGUUCACUUUAACACUGAGGCGUGACGACGAGGCACUACGGUGCUGAAGCAACAAAUGCCCUGCUUCCAGGAAAAGCCUCUAAGCAUCAGGUAACACGAAAUCGUACCCCAAACCGACACAGGUGGUCAGG